Molecule: ribosomal RNA, 466 nt
Filed under: uncultured bacterium
Lineage: Bacteria
Description: partial 16S ribosomal RNA
Rfam family: Bacterial small subunit ribosomal RNA
Source: RNAcentral
GAUGAACGCUGGCGGCGUGCCUAACACAUGCAAGUCGAGCGAUCUCUUCGGAGAGAGCGGCGGACGGGUGAGUAACGCGUGGGUAACCUGCCCUGUACACACGGAUAACAUACCGAAAGGUAUACUAAUACGGGAUAACAUACGAAAGUCGCAUGGCUUUUGUAUCAAAGCUCCGGCGGUACAGGAUGGACCCGCGUCUGAUUAGCUAGUUGGUAAGGUAAUGGCUUACCAAGGCGACGAUCAGUAGCCGACCUGAGAGGGUGAUCGGCCACACUGGAACUGAGACACGGUCCAGACUCCUACGGGAGGCAGCAGUGGGGAAUAUUGCACAAUGGGCGAAAGCCUGAUGCAGCAACGCCGCGUGAGCGAUGAAGGCCUUCGGGUCGUAAAGCUCUGUCCUCAAGGAAGAUAAUGACGGUACUUGAGGAGGAAGCCCCGGCUAACUACGUGCCAGCCGCCGCGGUAA